Molecule: ribosomal RNA, 301 nt
Filed under: uncultured bacterium
Lineage: Bacteria
Description: partial 16S ribosomal RNA
Rfam family: Bacterial small subunit ribosomal RNA
Source: RNAcentral
CAGCCGCCGCGGUAAUACGAAGGGGGCUAGCGUUGCUCGGAAUCACUGGGCGUAAAGGGUGCGUAGGCGGGUCUUUAAGUCAGGGGUGGAAUCCUGGAGCUCAACUCCAGAACUGCCUUUGAUACUGAAGAUCUUGAGUUCGGGAGAGGUGAGUGGAACUGCGAGUGUAGAGGUGAAAUUCGUAGAUAUUCGCAAGAACACCAGUGGCGAAGGCGGCUCACUGGCCCGAUACUGACGCUGAGGCACGAAAGCGUGGGGAGCAAACAGGAUUAGAUACCCGCGUAGUCCCUGUCUCUUAUAU